RNAcentral lists this ribosomal RNA (507 nucleotides) under Holopsis sp. CO941. RNAcentral describes it as "partial 16S ribosomal RNA". The stretch from base 381 to 507 matches the Rfam family "Bacterial large subunit ribosomal RNA", at positions 2473 to 2600 of the family's 2925-position model. The record is from RNAcentral. Lineage: Eukaryota; Metazoa; Arthropoda; Insecta; Coleoptera; Corylophidae.
GUCUUUUUGAUAUUAAUUUAAAGUCUAACCUGCUCAAUGAUUAUUAAAUAGCCGCAGUAUUUUGACUGUGCAAAGGUAGCAUAAUCAAUAGUUUCUUAAUUAGGAACUGGAAUGAAAGGUUGAAUAAGAAAAUAACUGUCUCAAUUUUAAAAAAUUAGAAUUUUAUUUUUAAGUUAAAAAGCUUAAAUUUAAUUUAAAGACGAGAAGACCCUAUAGAGUUUAAUUUUAUUUUAAUAUUUAAUAAUUUAAGAAUUAAAAUUUUAUUUAUUAAUUAAAAUUUAAUUGGGGUGAUUAAAAAAUUAAUUUAACUUUUUUUUUAUAUUACAAAAAUUUUUGAAUUAUUGAUCCAUUAGAAUGAUAUAAGAAUAAAUUACCUUAGGGAUAACAGCGUAAUUAUUUUAGAGAGUUCAUAUUGAAAAAAUAGAUUGCGACCUCGAUGUUGGAUUAAAAUUAAUAAUUGGUGUAGAAGCUAAUUUAUUAGGUCUGUUCGACCUUUAAAAUUUUACA